CAGUAGCCGCGGGAACACGAAGGGUGCAAGCGUUAAUCGGAAUUACUGGGCGUAAAGCGUGCGUAGGCGGUGAGUUAAGUCUGCUGUGAAAUCCCCGGGCUCAACCUGGGAAUGGCAGUGGAUACUGGCUCGCUAGAGUGUGUCAGAGGAUGGUGGAAUUCCCGGUGUAGCGGUGAAAUGCGUAGAGAUCGGGAGGAACACCAGUGGCGAAGGCGGCCAUCUGGGACAACACUGACGCUGAGGCGCGAAAGCGUGGGGAGCAAACAGGAUUAGAUACCCCGGUAGUCCCUGUCUCUUAUAC
RNAcentral lists this ribosomal RNA (301 nucleotides) under uncultured bacterium. RNAcentral's name for it is "partial 16S ribosomal RNA". It matches the Rfam family "Bacterial small subunit ribosomal RNA", at positions 509 to 807 of the family's 1533-position model. The record is from RNAcentral.